This 339-nucleotide unclassified non-coding RNA is filed under the name uncultured fungus. RNAcentral's name for it is "sequence contains ITS1". The stretch from base 1 to 105 matches the Rfam family "5.8S ribosomal RNA", at positions 50 to 154 of the family's 154-position model. The record is from RNAcentral. Lineage: Eukaryota; Fungi.
GAAGUGCGAUAAGCAAUGCGAAUUGCAGAAUUCCGCGAAUCAUCAGAUCCUUGAACGCAACUGGCGCUAGAGGGCUCUCCUUCUAGCAUGUCUGUUUCAGUGUCUGAAAACAUCAUAUUAUAACUUAAUGUGGUUGACAAGAAAGAAACUUUUAUCGUUUCUUUUAAGUCUUCCAUUAAAGAUGUACAUGUGGGUCUUUGAACCCCUUAUCGAAUUGGUCACUGGUUCUUUCAGUGAUUCCGAUAGGGUUAGAAUCAAUUACCUGUUAUACAUGUAGUCUCUAUUCAAAAACAUCAAACUAUGCAUUUGAAAUCAGGCAAGAACACCCGCUGAACUUAA